AGCAGCCGCGGUAAUUCCAGCUCCAAUAGCGUAUAUUAAAGUUGUUGCAGUUAAAAAGCUCGUAGUUGAAUUUCGGAAUCGACGGAUUGGUCGCGCCUUCGGUGUGUACUGGUCUUGCCGGUUUCUCCCUUCUGACGAACCACGAUGUCAUUAAUUUGGUGUCGCGGGGAAUCAGGACUGUUACUUUGAAAAAAUUAGAGUGUUUAAAGCAGGCAUUAGCUUGAAUACAUUAGCAUGGAAUAAUGAAAUAGGACGUUUGAUCUUAUUUUGUUGGUUUCUAGGAUCGACGUAAUGAUUAAUAGGGAUAGUUGGGGGCAUUAGUAUUCAAUUGUCAGAGGUGAAAUUCUUGGAUUUAUUGAAGACUAACUACUGCGAAAGCAUUUGCCAAGGAUGUUUUCAUUAAUCAAGAACGAAAGUUAGGGGAUCGAAGACGAUCAGAUACCGUCGUAGUCUUAACCAUAAACUAUGCCGACUAGGGAUCGGAUGAUGUUAAUUUUUAAUGACUCAUUCGGCGCCUUAA
RNAcentral lists this ribosomal RNA (520 nucleotides) under uncultured Glomus. RNAcentral's name for it is "SSU rRNA". It matches the Rfam family "Eukaryotic small subunit ribosomal RNA", at positions 569 to 1091 of the family's 1831-position model. The record is from RNAcentral. Lineage: Eukaryota; Fungi; Glomeromycota; Glomeromycetes; Glomerales; Glomeraceae.